UACGUAGGUGGCGAGCGUUGUCCGGAUUUACUGGGCGUAAAGGGAGCGUAGGCGGACUUUUAAGUGAGAUGUGAAAUACUCGGGCUCAACUUGAGUGCUGCAUUUCAAACUGGAAGUCUAGAGUGCAGGAGAGGAGAAUGGAAUUCCUAGUGUAGCGGUGAAAUGCGUAGAGAUUAGGAAGAACACCAGUGGCGAAGGCGAUUCUCUGGACUGUGACUGACGCUGAGGCUCGAAGGCGUGGGGAGCAAACAGG
Molecule: ribosomal RNA, 253 nt
Filed under: uncultured bacterium
Lineage: Bacteria
Description: partial 16S ribosomal RNA
Rfam family: Bacterial small subunit ribosomal RNA
Source: RNAcentral